ACGCUCGACACCUACGUGAGGCAGCAGUGGGGAAUAUUGCACAAUGGGGGAAACCCUGAUGCAGCGACGCCGCGUGAGCGAAGAAGUAUUUCGGUAUGUAAAGCUCUAUCAGCAGGGAAGAAACUGACGGUACCUGACUAAGAAGCACCGGCUAAAUACGUGCUAGCAGCCGCGGUAAUCUGAGCGGGCUGGCAAGGC
RNAcentral lists this ribosomal RNA (198 nucleotides) under uncultured bacterium. RNAcentral describes it as "partial 16S ribosomal RNA". It matches the Rfam family "Bacterial small subunit ribosomal RNA", at positions 328 to 539 of the family's 1533-position model. The record is from RNAcentral.